Molecule: transfer RNA, 87 nt
Filed under: Candidatus Nomurabacteria bacterium
Lineage: Bacteria; Candidatus Nomuraibacteriota
Description: tRNA-Leu
Rfam family: tRNA
About the family: Transfer RNA (tRNA) molecules are approximately 80 nucleotides in length. Their secondary structure includes four short double-helical elements and three loops (D, anti-codon, and T loops).
Source: RNAcentral
GCCCAGAUGGCGGAAUUGGUAGACGCAAAGGACUCAAAAUCCUUCGAUGGCAACAUCAUGAGAGUUCGAUUCUCUCUCUGGGCACCA